GUGGGGAAUCUUGCGCAAUGGGCGAAAGCCUGACGCAGCCAUGCCGCGUGAAUGAUGAAGGUCUUAGGAUUGUAAAAUUCUUUCACCGGGGACGAUAAUGACGGUACCCGGAGAAGAAGCUCCGGCUAACUUCGUGCCAGCAGCCGCGGUAAUACGAAGGGGGCUAGCGUUGCUCGGAAUUACUGGGCGUAAAGGGCGCGUAGGCGGACAGCUUAGUCAGAGGUGAAAGCCCAGGGCUCAACCUUGGAAUUGCCUUUGAUACUGGCUGGCUUGAGUUUGGGAGAGGUGAGUGGAACUCCGAGUGUAGAGGUGAAAUUCGUAGAUAUUCGGAAGAACACCAGUGGCGAAGGCGACUCACUGGCCCAAUACUGACGCUGAGGCGCGAAAGCGUGGGGAGCAAACAGGAUUAGAUACCCUAGUAGUCC
RNAcentral lists this ribosomal RNA (425 nucleotides) under uncultured bacterium. RNAcentral describes it as "partial 16S ribosomal RNA". It matches the Rfam family "Bacterial small subunit ribosomal RNA", at positions 354 to 796 of the family's 1533-position model. The record is from RNAcentral.